Molecule: non-coding RNA, 150 nt
Organism: Canis lupus familiaris (dog)
Lineage: Eukaryota; Metazoa; Chordata; Mammalia; Carnivora; Canidae
Source: Rfam
AGCUUUACGCAGUGGCAGUAUCGUAGCCAACGAGGUUUAUCUGAGGCGCGACUAUUGCUAAUAGAAACUAGAUUAUAACAAAAGGCAAUCUUUCCUUAGAAAUUAUAAAAUUCUAAGAAGAGUUCCAGUAUUUGCCAAACUGGCCCGGGU